Molecule: ribosomal RNA, 1090 nt
Filed under: Lactiplantibacillus plantarum
Lineage: Bacteria; Bacillati; Bacillota; Bacilli; Lactobacillales; Lactobacillaceae
Description: bacterial SSU rRNA
Rfam family: Bacterial small subunit ribosomal RNA
Source: RNAcentral
UAAUACAUGCAAGUCGAACGAACUCUGGUAUUGAUUGGUGCUUGCAUCAUGAUUUACAUUUGAGUGAGUGGCGAACUGGUGAGUAACACGUGGGAAACCUGCCCAGAAGCGGGGGAUAACACCUGGAAACAGAUGCUAAUACCGCAUAACAACUUGGACCGCAUGGUCCGAGUUUGAAAGAUGGCUUCGGCUAUCACUUUUGGAUGGUCCCGCGGCGUAUUAGCUAGAUGGUGGGGUAACGGCUCACCAUGGCAAUGAUACGUAGCCGACCUGAGAGGGUAAUCGGCCACAUUGGGACUGAGACACGGCCCAAACUCCUACGGGAGGCAGCAGUAGGGAAUCUUCCACAAUGGACGAAAGUCUGAUGGAGCAACGCCGCGUGAGUGAAGAAGGGUUUCGGCUCGUAAAACUCUGUUGUUAAAGAAGAACAUAUCUGAGAGUAACUGUUCAGGUAUUGACGGUAUUUAACCAGAAAGCCACGGCUAACUACGUGCCAGCAGCCGCGGUAAUACGUAGGUGGCAAGCGUUGUCCGGAUUUAUUGGGCGUAAAGCGAGCGCAGGCGGUUUUUUAAGUCUGAUGUGAAAGCCUUCGGCUCAACCGAAGAAGUGCAUCGGAAACUGGGAAACUUGAGUGCAGAAGAGGACAGUGGAACUCCAUGUGUAGCGGUGAAAUGCGUAGAUAUAUGGAAGAACACCAGUGGCGAAGGCGGCUGUCUGGUCUGUAACUGACGCUGAGGCUCGAAAGUAUGGGUAGCAAACAGGAUUAGAUACCCUGGUAGUCCAUACCGUAAACGAUGAAUGCUAAGUGUUGGAGGGUUUCCGCCCUUCAGUGCUGCAGCUAACGCAUUAAGCAUUCCGCCUGGGGAGUACGGCCGCAAGGCUGAAACUCAAAGGAAUUGACGGGGGCCCGCACAAGCGGUGGAGCAUGUGGUUUAAUUCGAAGCUACGCGAAGAACCUUACCAGGUCUUGACAUACUAUGCAAAUCUAAGAGAUUAGACGUUCCCUUCGGGGACAUGGAUACAGGUGGUGCAUGGUUGUCGUCAGCUCGUGUCGUGAGAUGUUGGGUUAAGUCCCGCAACGAGCGCAACC